RNAcentral lists this long non-coding RNA (483 nucleotides) under Hordeum vulgare. Its description in RNAcentral is "long non-coding RNA (HVUL_LNC010876)". The record is from RNAcentral. Lineage: Eukaryota; Viridiplantae; Streptophyta; Magnoliopsida; Poales; Poaceae.
CGAUGAGGACGAGCUUGGCGAAGAGGUCGGGGCGGCGGAUGGAGGCGAGGAUGCCGAUCAUGGCGGAGACGGAGUGGCCGACGAAGGCGCAGCGCGGGAUGCGGAGCGCGUCGAGGAUGGAGAGCAGGUCGUCCACGUAGGCGUCCAGGUUGUUGUAGCGGCGGAAGUCGAAGUGGUCCGGGUUGACGCUGCCGGCGCAGACGAGGUCGUAGAGCACCACGCGGUGGUCGCGGGUCAGGUACGGCAGCACGCGGCUCCACGCGGACUGGUCCGUGCCGAAGCCGUGCGACAGCACCACCACGCGCUCGCCGGUGCCCACCACCCGCACGUUCAGGAUCUGCAGCAGCUUCGCCCCGCUCGGCGCGCCCCCGACCAUCGUCUCGCCGGAGCCGGACGCCGGGGCCGGGCUGCUGCCGCCGCUACUGCUGCUGCUGCUGGGGCUGAGGGGGUGCGUGGACCGGAGCAUGAGACGACUGACUUGGG